Molecule: ribosomal RNA, 451 nt
Filed under: uncultured bacterium
Lineage: Bacteria
Description: partial 16S ribosomal RNA
Rfam family: Bacterial small subunit ribosomal RNA
Source: RNAcentral
GAUGAACGCUGGCGGCGUGCCUAAUACAUGCAAGUCGAACGAAGCCUUCGGGCUUAGUGGCGGACGGGUGAGUAACACGUUGGUACCUGCCUCGAAGUGGGGAAUAACUGGCCGAAAGGUCGGCUAAUACCGCAUGUGAUCGCAAGAUCAAAGUCGUAAGACGCUUCGAGAGGGGCCUGCGUCCCAUUAGCUAGUUGGUAGGGUAAUGGCCUACCAAGGCGACGAUGGGUAGCUGGAUCGAGAGGUUGACCAGCCACACUGGGACUGAGAGACGUCCCAGACUCCUACGGGAGGCAGCAGUAAGGAAUCUUCCACAAUGGACGAAAGUAUGAUGGAGCAACGCCGCGUGCAGGAUGACGGCCUUCGGGUUGUAAACUGCUUUUAUAUGGGAAGAUUAUGACGGUACCAUAUGAAUAAGGACCGGCUAACUACGUGCCAGCAGCCGCCGUAA